GCUGCUCGUGGAGAAGGGCGAGGCGGCGGACCACUCGUACUGGUGGAACGACACCCGCGACCCGGGCGUGGGGCCGUUCGACACCGUCGAGCAGCC
Molecule: transfer RNA, 96 nt
Filed under: Streptomyces zaomyceticus
Lineage: Bacteria; Bacillati; Actinomycetota; Actinomycetes; Kitasatosporales; Streptomycetaceae
Description: tRNA-Thr
Source: RNAcentral